UAAAGAGAAGCUUGCUUCUCUUUCGGUUAGCGGCGGACGGGUGAGUAACACGUGGGCAACCUACCUUAUAGUUUGGGAUAACUCCGGGAAACCGUGGCUAAUACCGAAUAAUACAUUUCAUCUCCUGGUGGAAUGUUGAAAGAUGGUUUCGGCUAUCGCUAUAGGAUGGGGCCGCGGCGCAUUAGGUAGUAGGUGAGGUAACGGCUCACCUAGGCGACGAUGCGUAGCCGUCCUGAGAGGGUGAUCGGCCACACUGGGACUGAGACACGUCCCAGACUCCUACGGGAGGCAGCAGUAGGGAAUCUUCCACAAUGGGCGAAAGCCUGAUGGAGCACCGCCGCGUGAGUGAAGAAGGUUUUCGGA
This 363-nucleotide ribosomal RNA is filed under the name uncultured bacterium. RNAcentral describes it as "bacterial SSU rRNA". It matches the Rfam family "Bacterial small subunit ribosomal RNA", at positions 69 to 422 of the family's 1533-position model. The record is from RNAcentral.